GGGCCCGUGGCCUAGUCUGGAUAAGGCACUGGCCUUCUAAGCCAGCGACCCCGGGUUCAAAUCCCGGCGGGCCCG
RNAcentral lists this transfer RNA (75 nucleotides) under Thermoplasmatales archaeon. RNAcentral describes it as "tRNA-Arg". It matches the Rfam family "tRNA". From Rfam's summary of the family: Transfer RNA (tRNA) molecules are approximately 80 nucleotides in length. The record is from RNAcentral. Lineage: Archaea; Methanobacteriati; Thermoplasmatota; Thermoplasmata; Thermoplasmatales.